RNAcentral lists this small RNA (130 nucleotides) under Serratia sp. root2. Its description in RNAcentral is "RtT sRNA". It matches the Rfam family "RtT RNA". Rfam says of the family: This family represents a bacterial cis-regulatory element known as RtT RNA. The exact function of RtT is unknown although it is thought that it may be involved in changing the cellular response in relation to amino acid starvation. Lineage: Bacteria; Pseudomonadati; Pseudomonadota; Gammaproteobacteria; Enterobacterales; Yersiniaceae. The record is from RNAcentral.
UUUCGCCUGGCGUUCAAGAGGAUGAGCACCUCCGAAGGAGGUUUGAGCCGAGCGUAGCGAGACCACGUUGCUUUAGCAACGGCCCGCAGGGCAAGCAUCAAAGAUGCGCGUAAUCCUCUCUCGCCGACCA